GUUUAGGUAGUUUAUAAAAAUAAAAGUUUGUGGAGCUUUAGAAGCCUUUAAGGCCUUAGACA
RNAcentral lists this transfer RNA (62 nucleotides) under Fabaeformiscandona kushiroensis. Its description in RNAcentral is "tRNA-His". Lineage: Eukaryota; Metazoa; Arthropoda; Ostracoda; Podocopida; Candonidae. The record is from RNAcentral.